RNAcentral lists this ribosomal RNA (760 nucleotides) under Escherichia coli. Its description in RNAcentral is "partial 23S ribosomal RNA". It matches the Rfam family "Bacterial large subunit ribosomal RNA", at positions 797 to 1557 of the family's 2925-position model. The record is from RNAcentral. Lineage: Bacteria; Pseudomonadati; Pseudomonadota; Gammaproteobacteria; Enterobacterales; Enterobacteriaceae.
UUAGCGGAUGACUUGUGGCUGGGGGUGAAAGGCCAAUCAAACCGGGAGAUAGCUGGUUCUCCCCGAAAGCUAUUUAGGUAGCGCCUCGUGAAUUCAUCUCCGGGGGUAGAGCACUGUUUCGGCAAGGGGGUCAUCCCGACUUACCAACCCGAUGCAAACUGCGAAUACCGGAGAAUGUUAUCACGGGAGACACACGGCGGGUGCUAACGUCCGUCGUGAAGAGGGAAACAACCCAGACCGCCAGCUAAGGUCCCAAAGUCAUGGUUAAGUGGGAAACGAUGUGGGAAGGCCCAGACAGCCAGGAUGUUGGCUUAGAAGCAGCCAUCAUUUAAAGAAAGCGUAAUAGCUCACUGGUCGAGUCGGCCUGCGCGGAAGAUGUAACGGGGCUAAACCAUGCACCGAAGCUGCGGCAGCGACGCUGAUGCGUUGUUGGGUAGGGGAGCGUUCUGUAAGCCUGCGAAGGUGUGCUGUGAGGCAUGCUGGAGGUAUCAGAAGUGCGAAUGCUGACAUAAGUAACGAUAAAGCGGGUGAAAAGCCCGCUCGCCGGAAGACCAAGGGUUCCUGUCCAACGUUAAUCGGGGCAGGGUGAGUCGACCCCUAAGGCGAGGCCGAAAGGCGUAGUCGAUGGGAAACAGGUUAAUAUUCCUGUACUUGGUGUUACUGCGAAGGGGGGACGGAGAAGGCUAUGUUGGCCGGGCGACGGUUGUCCCGGUUUAAGCGUGUAGGCUGGUUUUCCAGGCAAAUCCGGAAAAUCAAGGCU